AUUGAACGCUGGCGGAAUGCUUUACACAUGCAAGUCGAACGGCAGCACGGACUUCGGUCUGGUGGCGAGUGGCGAACGGGUGAGUAAUAUAUCGGAACGUGCCCAGUCGUGGGGGAUAACGUAGUGAAAAUUACGCUAAUACCGCAUACGAUCUACGGAUGAAAGCGGGGGAUCGCAAGACAUCGCGCGAUUGGAGCGGCCGAUAUCAGAUUAGGUAGUUGGUGAGGUAAAGGCUCACCAAGCCGACGAUCUGUAGCUGGUCUGAGAGGACGACCAGCCACACUGGGACUGAGACACGGCCCAGACUCCUACGGGAGGCAGCAGUGGGGAAUUUUGGACAAUGGACGCAAGUCUGAUCCAGCCAUUCCGCGUGCAGGACGAAGGCCUUCGGGUUGUAAACUGCUUUUGUACAGAACGAAAAGGUCUCUACUAAUACUAGGGGCUCAUGACGGUACUGUAAGAAUAAGCACCGGCUAACUACGUGCCAGCCGCCGCAGUAA
This 500-nucleotide ribosomal RNA is filed under the name uncultured bacterium. Its description in RNAcentral is "partial 16S ribosomal RNA". It matches the Rfam family "Bacterial small subunit ribosomal RNA", at positions 30 to 523 of the family's 1533-position model. The record is from RNAcentral.